Molecule: ribosomal RNA, 274 nt
Filed under: uncultured bacterium
Lineage: Bacteria
Description: partial 16S ribosomal RNA
Rfam family: Bacterial small subunit ribosomal RNA
Source: RNAcentral
AUACGGAGGGUGCAAGCGUUACUCGGAAUCACUGGGCGUAAAGCGCGCGCAGGCGGUCUUUUAAGUUGGAUGUGAAAGCCUACGGCUCAACCGUAGAACUGCAUCCAAAACUAUUAGACUAGAGUGUGAGAGAGGAAGAUGGAAUUAGUUGUGUAGGGGUAAAAUCCGUAGAGAUAACUAGGAAUACCAAAAGCGAAGGCAAUCUUCUGGAACACUACUGACGCUGAGGCGCGAAAGCGUGGGGAGCAAACCGGAUUAGAUACCCCAGUAGUCC